GACGAACGCUGGCGGCGUGCUUAACACAUGCAAGUCGAACGGAAAGGCCCUGCUUUUGUGGGGUGCUCGAGUGGCGAACGGGUGAGUAACACGUGAGUAACCUGCCCUUGACUUUGGGAUAACUUCAGGAAACUGGGGCUAAUACCGGAUAGGAGCUCCUGCUGCAUGGUGGGGGUUGGAAAGUUUCGGCGGUUGGGGAUGGACUCGCGGCUUAUCAGCUUGUUGGUGGGGUAGUGGCUUACCAAGGCUUUGACGGGUAGCCGGCUGAGAGGGUGACCGGCCACAUUGGGACUGAGAUACGGCCCAGACUCCUACGGGAGGCAGCAGUGGGGAAUAUUGCACAAUGGGCGGAAGCCUGAUGCAGCAACGCCGCGUGCGGGAUGACGGCCUUCGGGUUGUAAACCGCUUUCGCCUGUGACGAAGCGUGAGUGACGGUAAUGGGGAAAGAAGCACCGGCUAACUACGU
Molecule: ribosomal RNA, 466 nt
Filed under: uncultured bacterium
Lineage: Bacteria
Description: partial 16S ribosomal RNA
Rfam family: Bacterial small subunit ribosomal RNA
Source: RNAcentral